This 850-nucleotide ribosomal RNA is filed under the name Entoloma graphitipes f. cystidiatum. RNAcentral describes it as "eukaryotic LSU rRNA". It matches the Rfam family "Eukaryotic large subunit ribosomal RNA", at positions 72 to 909 of the family's 3401-position model. RNAcentral also lists the same sequence under 1 other name. Lineage: Eukaryota; Fungi; Basidiomycota; Agaricomycetes; Agaricales; Entolomataceae. The record is from RNAcentral.
GGAUUCCCCUAGUAACUGCGAGUGAAGCGGGAAAAGCUCAAAUUUAAAAUCUGGUAGUCUUUGGCUGCCCGAGUUGUAAUCUAGAGAAGCGUUAUCCGCGCUGGACCGUGUACAAGUCUCCUGGAAUGGAGCGUCAUAGAGGGUGAGAAUCCCGUCUUUGACACGGACUACCAGGGCUUUGUGAUGCGCUCUCAAAGAGUCGAGUUGUUUGGGAAUGCAGCUCUAAAUGGGUGGUAAAUUCCAUCUAAAGCUAAAUAUUGGCGAGAGACCGAUAGCGAACAAGUACCGUGAGGGAAAGAUGAAAAGAACUUUGGAAAGAGAGUUAAACAGUACGUGAAAUUGUUGAAAGGGAAACGCUUGAAGUCAGUCGCGUUGGUCAGGGAUCAACCUUGCUUUUGCUUGGUGUACUUCCUGGCUAACGGGUCAGCAUCAAUUUUGACCAGUGGAAAAAGGUCAAGGGAAUGUGGCAUCUUCGGAUGUGUUAUAGCUCUUGGUCAUAUACACUGGUUGGGAUUGAGGAACUCAGCACGCCGCAAGGCCGGGUUUUAACCACGUUCGUGCUUAGGAUGCUGGCAUAAUGGCUUUAAUCGACCCGUCUUGAAACACGGACCAAGGAGUCUAACAUGCCUGCGAGUGUUUGGGUGGAAAACCCAAGCGCGUAAUGAAAGUGAAAGUUGGGAUCUCUGUCGUGGAGAGCACCGACGCCCGGACCAGACCUUCUGUGACGGAUCCGCGGUAGAGCAUGUAUGUUGGGACCCGAAAGAUGGUGAACUAUGCCUGAAUAGGGUGAAGCCAGAGGAAACUCUGGUGGAGGCUCGUAGCGAUUCUGACGUGCAAAUCGAUCGUCGAA